This 253-nucleotide ribosomal RNA is filed under the name uncultured bacterium. RNAcentral describes it as "partial 16S ribosomal RNA". It matches the Rfam family "Bacterial small subunit ribosomal RNA", at positions 524 to 776 of the family's 1533-position model. The record is from RNAcentral.
GACAGAGGGUGCGACCGUUGUUCGGAAUUACUGGGCGUAAAGCGCGUGUAGGCGGCUCGAUAAGUCGGAUGUGAAAGCCCUGGGCUCAACCUAGGAAGUGCAUUCGAAACUGCUGAGCUUGAGUUCUGGAGAGGAAGGCGGAAUUCUCGGUGUAGAGGUGAAAUUCGUAGAUAUCGAGAGGAACACCGGUGGCGAAGGCGGCCUUCUGGACAGCAACUGACGCUGAGACGCGAAAGCGUGGGGAGCAAACAGG